RNAcentral lists this long non-coding RNA (1082 nucleotides) under Oryza sativa (Asian cultivated rice). RNAcentral describes it as "long non-coding RNA (OSAT_LNC000940)". Lineage: Eukaryota; Viridiplantae; Streptophyta; Magnoliopsida; Poales; Poaceae. The record is from RNAcentral.
UAGCUGUUUCUAUCAGCGACUUACUAGUUGCAUGUACUCCUUGUGUUACUUAAACAAGAAGGUAGAAUCUUCGAAAUCAUAGUCUGAUUAUAUUGUCGAUCAAAUUCCACUCCCAGCAUCUCCAAUGAUUAAUGUUGAACCAAAGCGGAAUGUAUCAUCCAAGAGUAACUAAGUGGUAAAUCAGUCGUUUGUCCAUAUCAUGCCGCCACCAUUGCGAUGAAAUCCAACCGGUUAUGAUACCGCCAUAAGGAUGCCUCACCAAUUAAGAUGGAACUUCCAACGCGACGCCUUCAAGAAGGUUGCAACACUAAUUUAGAACAUCGUCUUCAUCGCUAUUCCAGAAAUAUGUGCUGUCGCCGGCCACCUAGCUACAUCCAAAAUAUGUAUAAUUCAUUGGCUUCCCAAAUUUUAAUAGGAUUGCUUUAGGCAACAAACAAAACAGGUUCCAAUUUCAGAGUAUAAAGUAUUGGAUAUGGGACUUACACGUCACUCUAUUUCUUGCCUUCAUGUUCUUUGUUCACUAUUGGUUGACUACAUCUAUAUAUAUCGAAGUAAUUAAAUAUAUAUAUAGGUUUUGUAUCUAUAGAUACACAUUCAUAUAUAUGCACUCGAUAUAUAUAGACGCACAUCUUCUCUUCCAAAAGCUGGAAUACUCGAUCCUCACAGUCACACAGCUAGCAACGCCGGCGGCCAUGCAACCACUCGCUGCCGGCGGCGGCGUCUCUUGGCCGUUGUACGCCGCCACCGUCGCGGCGGCGCUGCUCGUCACCGCCAUCGUCCUGCGGCUCGCCGCGCGGUCGACGGCGGCCGCCUGCAAGGCACGUCCCCCCGCCGGGUCUCUCGGCUGGCCGCUCGUCGGCGAGACGCUGCAGUUCAUCUCCGCCGCCUACUCCUCCCGCCCCGAGUCCUUCGUCGAGAAGCGCUGCCGCCGGUGAGCACCACCGCCGCCGCCAUGGCACCGGCAGCGCGCGUACGUAGUAGCUGCGUCUGUGGUGCUGAAAAUUUCUCUUGUUCUUGUUGAUUGAUUGAUUCCGUAGGUACGGGAAGGUGUUCAGGUCGCACCUGUGGGGGUCGCCGGCGGU